AGCAAAUCGCAAAGUGAAAACAGGCGAUAAAUCAUUCAAGUUUUUGACCUAUCAGCUUUCGACGGUAUGGUAUUGGCUUACCGUGGCAGUGACGGUUAACGGGGGAUUAGGGCUCGAUUCCGGAGAGGGAGCCUGAGAAACGGCUACCACAUUUAAGGAAGGCAGCAGGCGCGCAAAUUACCCAAUUUUAACAGUUUGAGAGAGGUAGUAACAAGAAAUAACAAUACAAGGCAGUUAAAAUGCUUUGUAAUGGGAAUGAUAGAAAUUUAAACCCUUUUUAAAGUAUCAAUUGGAGGGCAAGUCUGGUGCCAGCAACCGCGGUAAUUCCAGCUCCAAUAGCGUAUAUUAAAAUUGUUGCAGUUAAAAAGCUCGUAGUUGAAGUUCUGCUAAAAGUAACCGGUCUGCUU
This 407-nucleotide ribosomal RNA is filed under the name Hepatozoon canis. Its description in RNAcentral is "SSU rRNA". It matches the Rfam family "Eukaryotic small subunit ribosomal RNA", at positions 260 to 665 of the family's 1831-position model. Lineage: Eukaryota; Apicomplexa; Hepatozoidae. The record is from RNAcentral.